UACGUAGGUGACAAGCGUUGUCCGGAUUUACUGGGCGUAAAGAGCGCGCAGGCGGUCGUUCAAGUCGAGUGUGAAAGCCCCCGGCUCAACUGGGGAGGGUCACUCGAUACUGAUCGACUCGAAGGCAGGAGAGGGAAGUGGAAUUCCCGGUGUAGUGGUGAAAUGCGUAGAUAUUGGGUGGAACACCAGUGGCGAAGGCGGCUUUCUGGUCUGUAACUGACGCUGAGGCGCGAAAGCGUGGGGAGCAAACAGG
RNAcentral lists this ribosomal RNA (253 nucleotides) under uncultured bacterium. RNAcentral describes it as "partial 16S ribosomal RNA". It matches the Rfam family "Bacterial small subunit ribosomal RNA", at positions 524 to 776 of the family's 1533-position model. The record is from RNAcentral.